Lolium perenne is the source of this 1455-nucleotide long non-coding RNA. RefSeq lists it as uncharacterized. The record is from RefSeq and is a predicted model, not a curated record. NCBI's taxonomy places the organism in Eukaryota, Viridiplantae, Streptophyta, Magnoliopsida, Poales, Poaceae.
UAAGAGGAGCAGUCAUGAAUCUGCAUAUGUUUUUGAAUGGAUGAUUGCACUAAAAAAUGAUUGGUAUGCACUGCUCUGUACAAAUUAUCUAUAUAUUUGGAAGUUUGGUUUCUGUUUCUGAGAAGUAUACUCUUUGCUGUUGGGAAGUGUAAGUGUAUUGUCUCAUUUUUUCUGGUGUGCAUCUAAUCCUAAUGCGUCGUUCCUUGUUUAUCUCAGUUUAUUUUGUGUAAGUCGACAGUUCAGUUUUGUGCUUUUUAACAGUUCACCCUUGUGUCCAGGUAGCGUCGUGCGACUCGACGGAGCUCCUGAUUUUCGCUACACACACUUCUCCUAAUCUGUGAACCUCACUUCUACUAAUCUGUGAAGCUCUCUUCUCUUAAUUUGUGAAGUUCACUUGCCCAUCGUGAGAAUUCCCGAUUCGGCAGAGAUAGCAGUUAACUUCCACGAUGCAGAGUUCACUUGGUCCACAGAGGGUACAAAAAGUUAAUUUUUUCAGAGGGGGAGUCCGCUUAAUUCUUGGGGCAGAGUUCACUAUUGCUUGUCCAGAGAUUUUUAGUGAGGAACUUAUUUCGUUUGAGUAGUGAGUAAUUUUUUACAACAUUGAGCAAUUUUAUUACAGACAAACACAAGUGAACUUUUAAUGAUGUAUUGUCCUGAGGCUUUUCUCACUACAUAAUCGAGUGCAAAACUGUUGUUGUUUUAGUUUAGAACUGCCCAAACUUCAGAGCUAAACUACAAUAUUUUGGCUUAAGAACUACUGCUAGUUCAUAGCUGAACAUUUGCUUGUUCCCUCGACAGCAUGCUUGGCCUCCCUCAUGACCAUUCAGGAUCUCCGCCGCCACCUGAACUAAGGAACACUACUUGACCGAGCCUACUAUGCUAUAUCUAAGAGGUGGCAUGAUGAUCCGGUAAUACUCCACGGGGAUUUCAACGCUUAAACUUAAGUACCCACAAGCAGCAUUGCAACGAGCUGGGAGUUCUUGCGGCUGGCUCCUGUGGUUGUCACUGCAAGUCAUGCUCUUCAUUGCAUGAAGCAGCCGAGCACAAAUGCACAACAGGAAUAAAGAAAUGUAGCUACACUGGACUUCCUUGUCGGUGCCUUCAUAUGCAUCUCUUCCGCUUGACACAGCGACGCCACGAGUGACAAGGCUGCCACCCCACACUGCUGCAUCUGCUCCGCGAGUAACGCUGCUCUUUGAAUCCCUCAUGUGUUGUCUUGUGAGUUUUCAAAUUUUAUUGCUUCUGGUAUGAUACACAACGCUGGUAUUAUGUCAUGUUUCUCUUACAGAAAUUAGGAAUGAGUAAUAAUGUUCAGUAAUAUUUUGACUGUGUAGUGGUUUCUAAUUAGCCUCACCAGUACAAAUAUUUGAUGCAUGGGUGAUAGCAAAAAAUAGAAAUCCCAUGAAAAAGGUGACUUUUUUAUUAGAAAGGAAUCCAUGGAAGUUCACUCUGUUU